GUCCCAGUAGCUCAGUAGGAUAGAGCGCCUCCCUCCUAAGGAGGAAGUCAGGGGUUCGAAUCCUCUCUGGGACGCCA
Molecule: transfer RNA, 77 nt
Filed under: endosymbiont of Seepiophila jonesi
Lineage: Bacteria; Pseudomonadati; Pseudomonadota; Gammaproteobacteria
Also listed under: 7 other names
Description: tRNA-Arg
Rfam family: tRNA
About the family: Transfer RNA (tRNA) molecules are approximately 80 nucleotides in length. Their secondary structure includes four short double-helical elements and three loops (D, anti-codon, and T loops). Further hydrogen bonds mediate the characteristic L-shaped molecular structure. tRNAs have two regions of fundamental functional importance: the anti-codon, which is responsible for specific mRNA codon recognition, and the 3' end, to which the tRNAs corresponding amino acid is attached (by aminoacyl-tRNA synthetases). tRNAs cope with the degeneracy of the genetic code in two manners: having more than one tRNA (with a specific anti-codon) for a particular amino acid; and 'wobble' base-pairing, i.e. permitting non-standard base-pairing at the 3rd anti-codon position.
Source: RNAcentral